AGAUCACGCGGAGCAUUAGCUAGUUGGUAUGGUAACGGCCCAGCAAGGCGGGAUAGCGUAGCCGACUUGAGAGUGUGACCGGCCACACUGGGAAUGAGACACGGGCGCAGACUCCUACGGGAGGCAGCAGUAGUGAAUCUUCCUCAAUGUGCGAAAUGCUUGAUGGAGCAACGCUGUUUUGAAUGAUGAAGGCUUUCGGGUUGUAAAACUCUGUCAUUCGUGACGAACUGGAGUCUGAGGAAAUGCUGACUCUCUGAUGGUACCGGAGGAGGAAGCCCCGGCUAAAUAUCGUCCCAGCAGCCGUGGUCAUAUGUAGGGGGCAAGCGUUGUCUCGGAUUCACUGGGCGUAAAGUGCGCGCAGGGGGUGAUGUAAGUGUGAGGUGAAAACCCGAAGCUCAACUUCGGGUUUGCCUUUGAUACUGCGUCACUAGGGGAUAGGAGAGGCAAGGGGAAUUGCUACCUGUAGCGGUGAAAUGAGUAGAGAGGUGGAUGAACACGUGUUGUGAAGGCGCCUUGCCGGCACCUCUAAAAGGCCGAUGCGCUAAAAUGUAGUGAGCAAACCGGCUGCGAUAC
Molecule: ribosomal RNA, 573 nt
Filed under: uncultured bacterium
Lineage: Bacteria
Description: bacterial SSU rRNA
Rfam family: Bacterial small subunit ribosomal RNA
Source: RNAcentral